AGUGGCGGACGGGUGAGUAACGCGUGGGUAACCUGCCCCAUACAGGGGGAUAACAGCCGGAAACGGCUGCUAAUACCGCAUGCACAUGCGGGGCGCAUGCCCCUGGAUGGAAAGCUUUCGCGGUAUGGGAUGGGCCCGCGUCUGAUUAGGCAGUUGGCGGGGUAACGGCCCACCAAACCGACGAUCAGUAGCCGGCCUGAGAGGGCAACCGGCCACAUUGGGACUGAGACACGGCCCAAACUCCUACGGGAGGCAGCAG
Molecule: ribosomal RNA, 259 nt
Filed under: uncultured bacterium
Lineage: Bacteria
Description: partial 16S ribosomal RNA
Rfam family: Bacterial small subunit ribosomal RNA
Source: RNAcentral